Molecule: ribosomal RNA, 481 nt
Filed under: uncultured bacterium
Lineage: Bacteria
Description: bacterial SSU rRNA
Rfam family: Bacterial small subunit ribosomal RNA
Source: RNAcentral
GCUGGCGGCAGGCCUAACACAUGCAAGUCGAGCGGUAACAUUUCUAGCUUGCUAGAAGAUGACGAGCGGCGGACGGGUGAGUAACGCGUAGAAAUCUACCUAGUAGUGGGGGAUAGCCCAGAGAAAUUUGGAUUAAUACCGCAUACGCCCUACGGGGGAAAGCGGGGGAUCUUCGGACCUCGUGCUAUUAGAUGAGUCUGCGUCGGAUUAGCUUGUUGGUGAGGUAAUGGCUCACCAAGGCGACGAUCCGUAGCUGGUCUGAGAGGAUGACCAGCCACACUGGAACUGAGACACGGUCCAGACUCCUACGGGGGGCAGCAGUGGGGAAUAUUGCACAAUGGGCGCAAGCCUGAUGCAGCCAUGCCGCGUGUGUGAAGAAGGCCUUAGGGUUGUAAAGCACUUUCAGCAGUGAGGAAAGGGGUGUCGUUAAUAGCGCCAUCCUGUGACGUUAACUGCAGAAGAAGGACCGGCUAACUCCGUG